UACGUAGGGGGCAAGCGUUGUCCGGAUUUAUUGGGCGUAAAGCGCACGCAGGCGGUCUCUUAAGUUUCGAGUGACAGGUGGUGGCUCAACUGCCACAGGCCUUGGAAAACUGGGAGACUUGAGGACUUCAGAGGGAUGCGGAAUUCCAGGUGGAGCGGUGAAAUGCGUAGAGAUCGGGAAGAACAUCGGUGGCGAAAGCGCUCUGCUGGACUGCAACUGACACUCAGGGACGAAAGCUAGGGGAGCGAAUGGG
This 253-nucleotide ribosomal RNA is filed under the name uncultured bacterium. RNAcentral describes it as "partial 16S ribosomal RNA". It matches the Rfam family "Bacterial small subunit ribosomal RNA", at positions 524 to 776 of the family's 1533-position model. The record is from RNAcentral.